Triticum dicoccoides is the source of this 183-nucleotide long non-coding RNA. RefSeq lists it as uncharacterized. The record is from RefSeq and is a predicted model, not a curated record. The transcript has 3 exons. Lineage: Eukaryota; Viridiplantae; Streptophyta; Magnoliopsida; Poales; Poaceae.
UCUUUUUUCGCAGGGACAGCUUCAGGAAGGACUCCAACAUCAAGCAUGUCUCCAUGGUUGGCAAGGGCGGUGGUGAGAAGUGGAAGUAUCUUGAGUGAUGUUGAGAAGGCUCCCUAAUUGCCAAGGCCAAGUACACCAAGAAGAUCGACACCUACAACAACCCACUGGUAUAACAUUCACGUC